AAUCGAAUGGAGGGAUUAGAAAUGAUUGAUAGUCCACCAGAGAAUUUAUUAAGAUUGGUUUAAGCAGCCAGCCUAUUAGAAAAAAAUUACUAGCAAUUAAAUAAGUGAAUUAGAUUGGCUCCUUGAGGAUGGAGUCAAUCUCUUUUUUA
Molecule: small RNA, 149 nt
Filed under: marine metagenome
Description: Cyanobacterial functional RNA 11
Rfam family: Cyanobacterial functional RNA 11
Source: Rfam by way of RNAcentral